This 164-nucleotide ribosomal RNA is filed under the name uncultured bacterium. RNAcentral's name for it is "partial 16S rRNA". It matches the Rfam family "Bacterial small subunit ribosomal RNA", at positions 355 to 511 of the family's 1533-position model. The record is from RNAcentral.
UAGGGAAUCUUCCACAAUGGGCGAAAGCCUGAUGGAGCAACGCCGCGUGUGUGAUGAAGGGUUUCGGCUCGUAAAACUCUGUUGUAAGAGAAGAAUGACAUUGAGAGUAACUGUUCAAUGUGUGACGGUAUCUUACCAGAAAGGAACGGCUAAAUACGUGCCAG